Molecule: ribosomal RNA, 497 nt
Filed under: uncultured bacterium
Lineage: Bacteria
Description: partial 16S ribosomal RNA
Rfam family: Bacterial small subunit ribosomal RNA
Source: RNAcentral
GAUGAACGCUGGCGGCGUGCCUAAUACAUGCAAGUCGAGCGAACAGACGAGGAGCUUGCUCCUCUGACGUUAGCGGCGGACGGGUGAGUAACACGUGGAUAACCUACCUAUAAGACUGGGAUAACUUCGGGAAACCGGAGCUAAUACCGGAUAAUAUAUUGAACCGCAUGGUUCAAUAGUGAAAGACGGUUUUGCUGUCACUUAUAGAUGGAUCCGCGCCGCAUUAGCUAGUUGGUAAGGUAACGGCUUACCAAGGCAACGAUGCGUAGCCGACCUGAGAGGGGGAUCGGCCACACGGGAACUGAGACACGGUCCAGACUCCUACGGGAGGCAGCAGUAGGGAAUCUUCCGCAAUGGGCGAAAGCCUGGCGGAGCAACGCCGCGUGAGUUAUGAAGGUCUUCGGAUCGUAAAACUCUGUUAUUAGGGAAGAACAAAUGUGUAAGUAACUAUGCACGUCUUGACGGUACCUAAUCAGAAAGCCACGGCUAACUACGUG